RNAcentral lists this unclassified non-coding RNA (360 nucleotides) under uncultured Clavariaceae. RNAcentral's name for it is "sequence contains ITS1". The stretch from base 1 to 107 matches the Rfam family "5.8S ribosomal RNA", at positions 50 to 154 of the family's 154-position model. The record is from RNAcentral. Lineage: Eukaryota; Fungi; Basidiomycota; Agaricomycetes; Agaricales; Clavariaceae.
GAAUUGCGAUAUGUAAUGUGAAUUGCAGAAUUCAGUGAAUCAUCGAAUCUUUGAACGCACAUUGCACCCUCAGGUCUUUUCCAGAGGGUAUGCCUGUUUGAGUGUCAUUAACAACAUCAAUGUAGACAUUUUGUUAUGUUCUACACUUGGAAGUUGAAGGCUUGCUGGCUGUCAUAGUCAGCUCCUUUUAAAUUCAUUAGCAGGACUUUGAAGACUUGGCUUCGGUUUGAUAAUAUUGUCUAUGCCGUUGCUAAGGAACGUUUUGUCUGGCUUAUAACUGUCCUUUGGACUGUCUCUUAAGGAGGCAUAACAUUUUUUGAACUUGACCUCAAAUCAGGUAGGACUACCCGCUGAACUUAA